Molecule: long non-coding RNA, 749 nt
Organism: Quercus lobata
Lineage: Eukaryota; Viridiplantae; Streptophyta; Magnoliopsida; Fagales; Fagaceae
Exons: 3
Source: RefSeq, a predicted model, not a curated record
AUGUUGUUUCUUCAUCUUCGUCAUGUCAUCUCCUUUUCCUUUAGUCCUAUUGCAAACCAAUCAAACCCACCUCUUGCUUUUCUCUUUUGGCAAGUAUUCACCAAAACUGCAUUAUUGAUAGGGCAUUGAAUGAAAUGACACCAUCACUAUUGUUAUGCGUUGAGCUUUUUCCUUUUUCUUUUACGUAUAUCGUUCUUCUUUUUUCGGUUUUCUUUUCCAAAAUGUUGACUGAUUAUAACGAAAUGGUUUCUUUCCACAUGCUGCUGCUGGAUAAGGAAUCAAAUCAAUGGCGAAAGGAAGAAUAACAUCCCUUCCUUUCCACACUCAUUGAAUAACAUUACUUGCUUCUUAUCUUUUCUAUUUUCCUUGUGAUUCUUCCUUGAUUAUACUUGCUGUGGCGCUUCUCUUCUGUUUGCUAACAUCUCUCUGCUACUUCAUCCUAUUGCUGAAUUUCUAAAUAAACACUUCUUUUCUUUUUAUACAAGGCAAAGUAAAAAAUACAGGGUGAGUACAAAGUGUAGUGUAACAUAGUGGGUAUAAAAAAAAAAAUGCAAACGUGAGAGAGGAAGCAAAACACAGGAAGGAAUGCAGGCCUAAUCAGUAAUCACUCAAGGACCAAAUGAGACAAAGAAAGGAAGAUGCCACCAUAUUUGCAUAUCUUGCAGCUUAAUAGAGGAUCCAUCUGUACGUUUUACUGAUAUGGCUGGUAGAUCUAAGUUGGGUUUAAUAUAUCAAGAAAUAUGUUGUUC